ACCGAAUCGUUUCCAGUGUCGAUAAUCUGCGAUAUAUUUCAUCGGCGAAUGUGUGCGUGCGUGUACUAUGGCAGCGGCUUUUUGGCUGCGCUUGGUAUAUGUGCUGUGCUUCCUUGCUGGUGCCCUGUAUUGUUGUGGGACGCCAAUGUCAGUUCGUAAACCGCGGGAAAUGACUACCGAGGAGGUAAGGCUUACGCUUGCGUUUGUCUGUUAUAUCUUGGUGGACGAGUAGUUGUGGUUGGGACUGAGGUGCCUACAACGUGCUUUUGAGUGGGACUGCGUCUCCGUGUGCGCCGUGUGCGGAUAGCUUGCUAUAUGCGUGUGGUUGUGUAUGGAUUGAUGCGGACUUUAACUUGUUGCCGUUCGGGACGUUGGCGAAAUGGAGCGAUUUGACCCGUCUUGAAACACGGACCAAGGAGUCUAACAUGUGUGCAAGUGUUAGGGUGUCGAAACCCGGACGCGUAAUUAACGUGAAGGGCAGCGCAAGCUGUCUGAGGUAGGAAACGUUGCGGACUUCGGUCUGCGAUGUGGCACUAUCGACCGAUCAUGAACCUUCGUUGUGAAAGAUUUGAGUUUGAGCACAUAUGUUGGUACCCGAAAGAUGGUGAACUAUGCCUGAGUAGAGUGAAGCCAGGGAAAACUCUGGUGGAAGCUCGUAGCGAUUCUGACGUGCAAAUCGAUCGUUGAACUUGGGUAUAGGGGCGAAAGACUAAUCGAACCAUCUAGUAGCUGGCUCCCUCCGAAAUCUCCCUCAGGAUAGCAACAACUUAUUUACGAUAGUUUUAUGAGGUAAAGCGAAUGAUUAGAGGAUUCGGGGAA
This 819-nucleotide ribosomal RNA is filed under the name Sclerospora graminicola. RNAcentral's name for it is "partial 28S ribosomal RNA". It matches the Rfam family "Eukaryotic large subunit ribosomal RNA", at positions 386 to 1037 of the family's 3401-position model. Lineage: Eukaryota; Oomycota; Peronosporomycetes; Peronosporales; Peronosporaceae. The record is from RNAcentral.